UCGAGUUUAACUCCAUCUCCCAAGAAGCCUGCAUAGCCGCCAAAAAACGGAAACGGAAAAAAAAUACUACGGCAAAUUUCUAGUUAAAGAGUAUUUCUAUCUCAGCAAGUCGAAAUUCCUUGAGUUUCUAAGCGACGGCAAUUGGCUGAGGCAAAAAUUUGUGACGUGAGUCCGAGCCCCGCGCUUAUCAAGAAACAUCAUCCUAUCAGGAUUCUGAGUUCUAAGCUUCAAUAUCAAAGCCAACACAACCAUUUCACCGCUCCAUCAGUCAGUUCGCUUGGGUCGAACGUACUGUAAGUAAAACACCAUGAGUUCGCCGAUGAAAACACAGGUCGUACGAUCUCAAACGCAAGGAUACAAAAAUGAUCUCUUGAAGCGGUACAAGUCAACGAAACCAUGCCCUAAUAGGGCCAAAUAUCAAAACAUAAAAAAAUAAUGUCAUCAUCCGCUAAUUACAGCAAUCAAUUGAUAUGUAACCAAAUGUAGGGCCACUAAGUAUGCCGAUAGUCAAUGUAUUAGCCAUAUCUUUUAGCAUUUAGUAAACUUUACUUAAACCAUCACAAACCAGGGACAAUGCAUCUAAAUAGGCAAUUUAGUUCUUAAGAUCAACUACAAUUAAAUAACAUUCACUGUAAGACUCGGAAUCCGAACAAUUAGGGCUCAAAGAAAGACAACCAAUUGAUAUCGCUCGCACUUAAAGUUUUCAUAAGUCUCGCUGCAAGAGCUAAACAUUGGCACGAUCCGCUUGAUCCGGGGCUUGUGAUCCGCUCUAAACGCUUCGAUUCCAACAAAAUUAUCCGGGAAAUCUAUAAGAUAUGGGUGUCCGAACUUGUUGAUCGCGUGCGUGGAAAAACUGCAUUAAAAUGGAGGCCAGGGUCCGGACCUUUGCCGUAACCGGGUACUACGAGCCGUGCGUCAAGCGGCAGUCGCCCCUCGCGUCGGUUGGGCGGGUGGUGGGUAACGAUUUACCGUUACACGUUGGG
This 983-nucleotide long non-coding RNA is filed under the name Drosophila melanogaster (fruit fly). RNAcentral describes it as "long non-coding RNA:CR45223 (Dmel_CR45223)". Lineage: Eukaryota; Metazoa; Arthropoda; Insecta; Diptera; Drosophilidae. The record is from RNAcentral.